RNAcentral lists this ribosomal RNA (511 nucleotides) under uncultured bacterium. Its description in RNAcentral is "bacterial SSU rRNA". It matches the Rfam family "Bacterial small subunit ribosomal RNA", at positions 29 to 523 of the family's 1533-position model. The record is from RNAcentral.
AGUGAACGCUGGCGGCAGGCCUAAUACAUGCAAGUCGAACGGCAGCACAGCAGAGCUUGCUCUGUGGGUGGCGAGUGGCGGACGGGUGAGGAAUACAUGGGAAUCUGCCCAGUCGUGGGGGAUAACGUAGGGAAACUUACGCUAAUACCGCAUGCGCCCUUCGGGGGAAAGCCGGGGGGAACCCUUUCGGGCCUGGCGCGAUUGGAUGAGCCCAUGUCGGAUUAGCUAGUUGGCGGGGUAAUGGCCCACCAAGGCGACGAUCCGUAGCUGGUCUGAGAGGAUGAUCAGCCACACUGGAACUGAGACACGGUCCAGACUCCUACGGGAGGCAGCAGUAGGGAAUAUUGGACAAUGGGCGCAAGCCUGAUCCAGCCAUGCCGCGUGAGUGAAGAAGGCCCUCGGGUUGUAAAGCUCUUUUGUCCGGAAAGAAAAGCGCCGGGUUAAUACCCUGGUGUCCUGACGGUACCGGAAGAAUAAGCACCGGCUAACUUCGUGCCAGCAGCCGCGGUAA